This 2314-nucleotide long non-coding RNA is filed under the name Olea europaea (common olive). Its description in RNAcentral is "long non-coding RNA (OEUR_LNC007049)". Lineage: Eukaryota; Viridiplantae; Streptophyta; Magnoliopsida; Lamiales; Oleaceae. The record is from RNAcentral.
AAUUGGCCUUCAAAUAAAUUGUUAGGAUAUGUUUCUGAAAAAUGGUAAUUUGUUAUGUUACUAGUGCUAAUGGUUUUGAGUGGAAAAGUAACUAAUGAGGAGUUUAUACAACAAAGUAGUCGAUUUGUACAUUGAAUGUCAUUUACAAAUGAUGUAGGAUCAAAUUGAAGCAGACGAAGGUUGGUUGUGACUACUUGAGGCGGCGAUGUGAAAUUCUAACAGAGGAAAACAAGCGGUUGCAGAAGGAAGUGAACGACCUAAGAGCAUUGAAGCUCUCCCCACACUUUUACAUGAACAAGAACCCUCCGACCACCCUUACCGUGUGUCCUCAGUGCGAACAUGUGGCUGUCUUGUCUUCAUCAUCCUCAGCUACUCAACAACCUAAUCUGGAUGCGGCCCACCACCAACGCCCAAUGCCUAUGCCCGUAUCGAAGUUUCAAUCUUAAAAUAAGUGUAAAAUGGUAAUCGGUUCUCUCCGAUUUUGCCAUCUAAAACUAGGAUGAGGGGAUCUGAAAGUCUGCUUUAUAUGGAGAAAGACUUGUAAAGGAUGGUCUAGAUAGGUUGGUGCUUAUAGAUUGAUAGGGUUAUUUAAAGAGAACCCUAAUUCUCUUUUUUGUGUUUUUAUCAAUAGAAGAAUGGUUAUGUUAGGCAAAAGUUGGAUUUAAUGUUGGAGAUGGAGGUAACAUUGUUGAAACUUUUUGCUUGUUUAAUAGAAUAAUAACUUAUAAUAUAGUUAGUUUAGUAAGAGGCUUGUGAACAAGGUUAUUAUGGUUACAACAUUUUUUAAGAAUGUUUUUAAUGCAAAAUGAUUAGAUUCUUACUCUUAGGUUGCUUAGGAACCUAAUAAUGUUAUUCAAUACCAUUGAUGUGAAGCAUUAAUUUAGGUAGCAAUUACAUGUCAUUGAAUGAUAGCAAUGUCACAUGAUUCAUUUAAUUGAACUUAUCAAGUAUACUUAAUAUGUCCUACACUAUCUAAUCGCAUGGUUGUACAUCCUAACUUUUGCCAUACAUGGCAUACAAUUCUUCGACUUACAAAUCUCGACAUAAUCAUCUUUUUUCUGUUCGUAGCGGCUGAGGUCCUUGUGGAUUGAAUUCAUCCAAAUGUACAUUAAAAUGGUGAGUGCUGUGCGCAUGUCUAAAUUUUUUAACAGGGCAACGCAAAUAUUAUUUUAAUGUCUAUCGGACUUCACUUAAAAGUAUCUUCGUUAUUAGACAAGUAUAAAAAGUUGACGAUCAAGCUGUUAGUAUUGACAGGUUAAUGUAUUUAGCUAUCCAUAAAUUGGUGAAAAUGAAGAAGUAUCUCUUUUAUUGAUAUUUCAUUAGAAUCAUUCAUUUGAAAUGCACGUGGACAGUGUACCCAAUAGGGCUUACUUGGAAAGUUGCCCCGAUCAAAACCCAUUGUACCCAACGCCUUUUUUAUUAUAAAAUUUUUUGAAAAAAUAAAGAAGUUCAAGCUCGACAAAUUUACACCUAUAAUAUGAGAAUUAGAUAUUUUUUUGAUGAGGUUCGAACGGUGCUUGAAGAAACAUUCAAGCAAUAUAAUACUCUCAGCCCGGUUAGUGAUAUUUUGCUAAAUAUUUCAGUCGGUCAGGGUAUUUUUGUGUGCUAAUCAUUGCUAAUUAAAUUGAAAAGCACAGAAGGAGGCACAAGUUUUUAAACCAUUGGUUUUGUGAGGUUUGUAGAAGCAAAGGUUGGCUUUGGCGAAAGAGUUGAAUCUGAGGCCUAGACAAGUGGAGGUGUGGUUUCAGAAUAGAAGGGCAAGGUUAGUUAUUAAUCAACCAAGUCAAGGGUAUAAUUGGCCUUCAAAUAAAUUGUUAGGAUAUGUUUCUGAAAAAUGGUAAUUUGUUAUGUUACUAGUGCUAAUGGUUUUGAGUGGAAAAGUAACUAAUGAGGAGUUUAUACAACAAAGUAGUCGAUUUGUACAUUGAAUGUCAUUUACAAAUGAUGUAGGAUCAAAUUGAAGCAGACGAAGGUUGGUUGUGACUACUUGAGGCGGCGAUGUGAAAUUCUAACAGAGGAAAACAAGCGGUUGCAGAAGGAAGUGAACGACCUAAGAGCAUUGAAGCUCUCCCCACACUUUUACAUGAACAAGAACCCUCCGACCACCCUUACCGUGUGUCCUCAGUGCGAACAUGUGGCUGUCUUGUCUUCAUCAUCCUCAGCUACUCAACAACCUAAUCUGGAUGCGGCCCACCACCAACGCCCAAUGCCUAUGCCCGUAUCGAAGUUUCAAUCUUAAAAUAAGUGUAAAAUGGUAAUCGGUUCUCUCCGAUUUUGCCAUCUAAAACUAGGAUGAGGGGAUCUGAAAGUCUGC